UCUACGUGCGUAUAGUGGAUGAAAACGACAACGCGCCAGAGUUUCCGGAGGAGGAGUAUGUGACGGUGCUGAGCGAGGGCCCCGACACCUUGGGGGCCACCAUUGCCACAGUAACCGCCAUCGACCCAGACGAGGGCCUCAACGGCACCCUCCGAUACACCAUCGACCACGGCAACCUGGCCAUCACCUUCUGCAUCAAUCAAACUACCGGAAAGAUUGUUGCAGUGAAGGAGCUGGACUUUGAGAUCAGCAAUGGGCACUACGCACUUGUCGUCACAGCAACAGACCAGUGUCCCAUCCAUGCCCUCCGCCUGACAUCCAGCACUACGGUGUUGGUGAAUGUCCUGGAUGUGAACGAUGUGACCCCCACCUUCCCCAAGGUCUAUGAGGGGCCCUUUAAGAUAACAGAGGGCCAGCCYGGGCCUCGGGUCUGGACCCUCAAAGCCACUGACCAAGACUCUGGACUCAACGGCAAAGUGGAGUACAGCAUCA
Non-coding RNA from Salvelinus sp. IW2-2015, 492 nucleotides. Lineage: Eukaryota; Metazoa; Chordata; Actinopteri; Salmoniformes; Salmonidae. The record is from RefSeq and is a predicted model, not a curated record.